This 409-nucleotide ribosomal RNA is filed under the name alpha proteobacterium BAL160. RNAcentral's name for it is "bacterial SSU rRNA". It matches the Rfam family "Bacterial small subunit ribosomal RNA", at positions 39 to 495 of the family's 1533-position model. Lineage: Bacteria; Pseudomonadati; Pseudomonadota; Alphaproteobacteria. The record is from RNAcentral.
GCGGCAGGCUUAACACAUGCAAGUCGAACGCCCCGCAAGGGGAGUGGCAGACGGGUGAGUAACGCGUGGGAAUCUACCUAGUUUCUACGGAACAACAGUUGGAAACGACUGCUAAUACCGUAUACGCCCUACGGGGGAAAGAUUUAUCGGAAUUAGAUGAGCCCGCGUAAGAUUAGCUAGUUGGUGGGGUAAUGGCCUACCAAGGCGACGAUCUUUAGCUGGUCUGAGAGGAUGAUCAGCCACACUGGGACUGAGACACGGCCCAGACUCCUACGGGAGGCAGCAGUGGGGAAUAUUGGACAAUGGGCGCAAGCCUGAUCCAGCCAUGCCGCGUGAGUGAUGAAGGCCUUAGGGUUGUAAAGCUCUUUCAGUAGGGAAGAUAAUGACGGUACCUACAGAAGAAGCCCCG